This 1364-nucleotide ribosomal RNA is filed under the name Limosilactobacillus fermentum. Its description in RNAcentral is "bacterial SSU rRNA". It matches the Rfam family "Bacterial small subunit ribosomal RNA", at positions 66 to 1419 of the family's 1533-position model. Lineage: Bacteria; Bacillati; Bacillota; Bacilli; Lactobacillales; Lactobacillaceae. The record is from RNAcentral.
ACCUGAUUGAUUUUGGUCGCCAACGAGUGGCGGACGGGUGAGUAACACGUAGGUAACCUGCCCAGAAGCGGGGGACAACAUUUGGAAACAGAUGCUAAUACCGCAUAACAGCGUUGUUCGCAUGAACAACGCUUAAAAGAUGGCUUCUCGCUAUCACUUCUGGAUGGACCUGCGGUGCAUUAGCUUGUUGGUGGGGUAACGGCCUACCAAGGCGAUGAUGCAUAGCCGAGUUGAGAGACUGAUCGGCCACAAUGGGACUGAGACACGGCCCAUACUCCUACGGGAGGCAGCAGUAGGGAAUCUUCCACAAUGGGCGCAAGCCUGAUGGAGCAACACCGCGUGAGUGAAGAAGGGUUUCGGCUCGUAAAGCUCUGUUGUUAAAGAAGAACACGUAUGAGAGUAACUGUUCAUACGUUGACGGUAUUUAACCAGAAAGUCACGGCUAACUACGUGCCAGCAGCCGCGGUAAUACGUAGGUGGCAAGCGUUAUCCGGAUUUAUUGGGCGUAAAGAGAGUGCAGGCGGUUUUCUAAGUCUGAUGUGAAAGCCUUCGGCUUAACCGGAGAAGUGCAUCGGAAACUGGAUAACUUGAGUGCAGAAGAGGGUAGUGGAACUCCAUGUGUAGCGGUGGAAUGCGUAGAUAUAUGGAAGAACACCAGUGGCGAAGGCGGCUACCUGGUCUGCAACUGACGCUGAGACUCGAAAGCAUGGGUAGCGAACAGGAUUAGAUACCCUGGUAGUCCAUGCCGUAAACGAUGAGUGCUAGGUGUUGGAGGGUUUCCGCCCUUCAGUGCCGGAGCUAACGCAUUAAGCACUCCGCCUGGGGAGUACGACCGCAAGGUUGAAACUCAAAGGAAUUGACGGGGGCCCGCACAAGCGGUGGAGCAUGUGGUUUAAUUCGAAGCUACGCGAAGAACCUUACCAGGUCUUGACAUCUUGCGCCAACCCUAGAGAUAGGGCGUUUCCUUCGGGAACGCAAUGACAGGUGGUGCAUGGUCGUCGUCAGCUCGUGUCGUGAGAUGUUGGGUUAAGUCCCGCAACGAGCGCAACCCUUGUUACUAGUUGCCAGCAUUAAGUUGGGCACUCUAGUGAGACUGCCGGUGACAAACCGGAGGAAGGUGGGGACGACGUCAGAUCAUCAUGCCCCUUAUGACCUGGGCUACACACGUGCUACAAUGGACGGUACAACGAGUCGCGAACUCGCGAGGGCAAGCAAAUCUCUUAAAACCGUUCUCAGUUCGGACUGCAGGCUGCAACUCGCCUGCACGAAGUCGGAAUCGCUAGUAAUCGCGGAUCAGCAUGCCGCGGUGAAUACGUUCCCGGGCCUUGUACACACCGCCCGUCACACCAUGAGAGUUUGUAACA